Molecule: long non-coding RNA, 5122 nt
Filed under: Gallus gallus (chicken)
Lineage: Eukaryota; Metazoa; Chordata; Aves; Galliformes; Phasianidae
Description: lncRNA (ENSGALG00010009061.1)
Source: RNAcentral
GCUGUGAUUAUUGUAAACCCAACUUAAUUCACAAGAAACCUCCACUUUAUGUCACAGAAUUCUGUACAAAAAAAUAGAAUGAAUCUGUUUCAGUGGUUUGUCAGUACCUAUCCUUCAGGAUGAACAUAAUUUUUUUGUGACUGGAAAACUCUUCCAAACUUGAGUGAGCAGAGCUUUCUGGAGCAAUGCAUAGGAAAAGAGCUUUGAGAGGAGGUGGCAAAAUAACAAGAAUUUGCUCAGAAUAAGCAACGUAACUUAAGUCAGAUUUAAGAUUGUGUAGCAUCAUCUUUCAACUCAUAUUGGUUUUAUUAACAGUUGAGGGGAAAUGCAGGUACGUUCUGUUAAGCAGCCUAACAGUUUAUGUACUCUUGAAUUCUCUGCUCAGAUAUGCUGGGAAAAAUUACAAGAAGGAAAAAUAAUAAACAAUAACUGAGAGAUGAAAGAUUCUUCUGUGUCUAAUAGCUGAAGCAAAACAAGAAUUUGUCAGUGACAUAAAAUUAAAUGAAAAAUUGAAUGAUUGUUCAAAAUUGACUUAUUCUGGUUUAUUUACUGUAAUACAAUUAGCACUUUCAAAUAUUUGAAUCACUGUGUAGAAAAAAAAAUCACUGUGAAACGGAGCUAGUUUAUUUUAUAUAUAAUAUGUUAAAAUAAAUUAUCCUGUUUGUGAGUUGGUUUUAAGUAGUCUGAUUACUGAGAAGGUAUAAACAGAAGUAUAUAUACAAGAACUACACUUGGAUGUGAAUUAGGGAAGGUGAAGCUGUACAGUUGUACUGUUUAAGCUUCUUAUAAGAGUGUUGUCUGGCAAGAGGAGAAGUAAGAUUUUUUGUUCACUUGCCCCUUUCUUCUUGGUAUGAUUUUUCUACAGUAGCCCUAUGUUGCCUGAGGACAUUCUCAACCCAACAGUACUGCAUUACUGGUGGAAAGAACAAAACAAAACAAAACAAAAAACAAAAAUGUCAGAAGGUUAGAAUGGUAUCUGUGUGGUUUGUUGUCACUUCUACAGUAACAGACUGUAGUAGUCAGUUACACAUUCCAGGACACUUCCUCAAAUGAUGUAAAUCAGUGAAGCUUCAGCAGAGACAAGUGAUCCAUACUCAUUUACAACCUCUAAAGAUUUAGAUGUCAAUCUGCAAGGUGAAUAUCAUGUUUCUCUUUUCCUAAAGCAAAGGCAGGCAAACAUUUCCCAGUGUAGAUGAUAAUUUUUCAUAUCUCAAAACUAGAGGAGUUAAAAUGUGAUACAUUUCCUAUGAUGGAAACAGAUACCGAAGAAGAGUCCAAAUCUCUCCACAUGUUGAUCCAUCUCACUCAUCAUGCUCUCUAUAUCACAUCCAAAAUGAAGAACUCUUCUGCAGAGAUCACUUCAGGAAGUCUUCUAGAAAGAAAAUAAAAUCAAGUACACACAAGAAGAGACUACCAGAAAGAUAUGUGCUCUGUUCUCAGUCUAGUGAAAAGUGAUAAAAAAAAGAUGUAGAUCUGCAGUUUCCGACAGGACAGCUUAUUCACACCAAGCUGAAGGAAAGUUAGGUUUGUACUGUGGGUGCUUUGGAUGGACAUGGACUCUGGGAGGAUUCCAUUACAAACAUACAAUCAAACAAGCAAAAGUAUAGCUAUUUCCACUGGAAUUCUUGAGAUGCAGUUCUGGGGAGAAGGUUAUAUUACAUGAAUGCGGCUUUUACACAGACACUGUUUUAGAAGUGUGGUUCAAAGACCUGCCAUGUGGAAACAAAUACAAGCAGAGCUCAACUACUGAUGGGUGCUAAAGGAUGAAAUAAGGUGAGCGGAGCCUGAAAUUCAGGACACAUUCCAGUGUGUUACUUGGAUUCAUGUCACUGUUUGUUUUUUUUUAAUUUCUUGCUUCAUUCUGAUCCUCAAUGAAGCAUUGGUAGGUCUUGUCAGACUCUGGAAUAUUAAGCAAGAAACCCAGUGUUGGUAGAAGGACUUUUUUUGUAGAGAAGUUCAGUUGAAAAGCAACAGACAAACAAAAGUUGAAAUCGAGAAAUUAGGAAUAACUCAUGUAGCAAAAAAAAAGGAGUUAAGACUUUAAAAACACUACGAUUUUCACAUUGGUUUCAUAAUGAAGAUAGCGAUUUUGAUAAUUUGUCUGCCUUAUCCCUGUAAAUGUUUAUAUCAACUGAGAAAAAAAAUAGAUACCUCAGAGAUGUGGUGUUCAGACAAGUUUCAUGAAAAUCAGUCACUGAAUACAUGGGAAGACUCAAAAGAAGGCUCUCCUGACAGAAGGGCUGAAGCCUGAGUUCACCAUUGUUUCUUUUUUAGCUAGAGGGCAACCAGAGUGCACAUACAGGCUGGGUAGCCAGCAUGCUCAGUUUGACACUAGCCACAGCAUGUUGCAGAUGCCUUUACCAGGACUUAACAUAGGGCAAAAGGAUCUGGGAUUUCAGUAUAAGAUGUGACAAAAGAGAAGAGAAUUAGAGACAUUUCAGGGAGAUAUAAUAUGCAGUGCGGGCAAAAGUUUGUGGAAAUGGGUUUUUACUACCUGUGUUGUUUGAGGAAUGACUUACCGAACGUGUAUGAAAAAGCUGUAGAGGGGGGUUUAUGGCAUCAGCAGUGAUAAUAUGAUAAACUAUGAUAAUCAUUAAAAAACCUACACUAUUUUUCCAGUGUGAUGGAGGGAAAAGUCUUUUUUUCUUCCUCUCUGAAAAAAUCACAUUUUUUUUUCCAAUAAUAUCAUACAAUAGAUUAAAAAAGAAUGUUUCAAUUACAUAAAACUAGUAUACACUUUUAAAAGCAUGUUAUACAUAUGCUGUUAAUUUCACUUUAAAGCUCCAGGGGAAGGUAGAAGUUUAUUUGAAUCUGAGGGUGAUGCCAUCUGUGAUUUGAAUUUUAAUAACACUCCCUUGAAGCUCUCAGGAAUUGUUUUGCGUUAGGAAUAAGAAAUUCAGAAAUAAGGGGGUGGCUGACAAAUAUUUUGUUCACAAACAAUGCUCUCUAAUAGUGGCAGUAGUAAUCAUGUUAAGUGUUUCAAAUCCGGAGACUGAAGAGAAAUGUCUAACAUGAGAGGGCUUUUCAGUCCGUGAACCAGGCAGAGGAUGAAGCAACCAAGACUAGAGUCAGUAUAUCAAAGGGUGCAAAACCUGUCUGGAGCUUGUUUAAUAAACUGGCAUCAAAUUUUCAAAAACAGCCUAAAUGAUAGGAAUGGAGAUAAGAGAGGACAUGCGGCUUGUAGCUCCUCUCCUCUAAUCCGAAUGCUGCACCAGCUGUGUGAAUAUGAAUAGUACUACAGUCAUGUAUUCAUGCGUAAUAUUUUCACUUUUGCAAAAUUUGUGCUCAGCAAUGAAGCUUUUAAAAAUACAAAUUGAAACUGAAGACUUCAUUUGGAUAACAGUGUGGAUUUUUACUUUAUUUGUUUGUUUUCUUAUGUUUGGUUUGAAGGAGAACUGAAAGAAUGAAAAAGAAACAAUUUUACAUCAAGAUGGAAUUUGUAUUUCAGUAGUUGUUAAGUAUAGCUGAGUUCUGUUCAAGGAAAUUAAAAUAUUUUUCUUUAAUUCUUCAAAUUUCAGAGUGGUCUUUUCCUUGGUAUGGCAACAUAAAAUGGAAAGUGUUGUCAUAAAGCGGAAAAAAAACACUUUCUAUUAAAAUGUGUUAAAGUAUCUCAAACAUUUCAGCUUCUCUCCUCUUUUCUUGAUCAGAGCUACUCAAUAUUUUGAUUGUAAAUCAUGAACAUUUCAAUUUCUGUCAAACUGCACUUUUCAACAGUUAAUCCACUUAGAGAUAUUAGGAUGCUUUUUAUACCAUAGCACGUAGUUGCCCUGUCAGAUUAACCCAUUACUCUGAGAAUAUGAAGAUGUUUCUAAAACUUUGUCUAUCCAUAACCAGAUGUCUUAUGAUUUAUGUCUCUUCAUAAAACUAUUUGCAGUUGGAGAUAAAUCGAAUAUUAAUGUUCCAUAUGUGGCUAAUGCAAAAAUAAAUAAUGUAGUUGGAACAGAAACUUAUGCAGAUUCUACAACACGUAAUAAGUGAAAAAUGCACUUUUGCAUGAAAAAAAAGCAAGUAAAUACAUUAUGAGAAACUUAUGUAAUACUGAAGAACUGUAACCAAGGGGAUAAAAUGAUAUUUGGAAGCACACAAUUAAUUGCAAGGCUGGAUAUUUAAUGUUAUCACUAAUUACAUCAGAAAGAAAUGAUCCUUUACUAAUAGAUGAAAGUUGAUAUAACAAGAGAAUGCUAGAGUCUGAGCACAGUGUACCAUGUGUUGGAGCCACUGGUUACACUAAAAAACAGCUAGAAAGUGCUAUCUCGACAUGUGCUUAAGUGUAAUAAAAUAUUUUUUUUUAAUUAAAAAGAAAAAAAAAAAGAUCCUGCAUGUAAAGUUAUAGAAAAAUAUUUUCAGAGAUGAUCUUUAUAUACUAAAACUCUUAGAAGAAUUACUUUUAGAAGAAUGGAGGGCAGACAUAAAUUUCUCCAGUAAAAACAAAGCCAGGAACUGCAUCAGUUACCUGAGUGGUUAUUAUUAUUACCGACAGAUUGGGCCAUCAGUCUUUCAGUUUAAAACAAAUAAAUACUCAAACUGAGAAAUUCUACACAUAUCUUCUAAAUCACUAGGAAUGGUAAUAAUAAUAAUAAUAAUAAUAAUAAUAAUAAUAAUAAUAAUAAUAAUAAUUGCCUUCUUUUCAUGAACUGGUAUUCAUAUAUGCUUGACUACUACUGUUCAGAUCUUGAAACAUUAUUUUCAAUCGAUGCAGUGGUACAUUGUUAGAAGUAAAAAGGGAAAACGUACUUUAACUAUCAUAUACACUUUCUGUAACACAAUAAAGGCAUAAAUAGACUGUUCAUAACGGUGAACUUUGAAAUACUUUGAACCUAAAACAAUUUUUCUUUUUGCCUCUGUGUAGGGAUAUGCAGAUGAUUUAGUGAAGAAAGUUGUUUUUUAUACAGAAUGUUUUUUUGGAUGUUGUUCUUGCUUGAGAGUUUCAAGAAUUGUUUCAAUAUGUGGGCUUUAAAUAUUGGAUUCGAUAUUCUUUUAAUUGGAUUUUUCAGAUGAUUUAGGCAUUCCAGUAUGUAUUUAUCUUCUAAAAAACACUCAACAGAAUUAAUCUACGAAGAAUACACAUACUAAAUAAUGAACAAAAUGAAAAAGCAUUAGUGUCAUUCUCCCUCUGCUGCUU